This 306-nucleotide long non-coding RNA is filed under the name Androctonus crassicauda. The record is from RNAcentral. Lineage: Eukaryota; Metazoa; Arthropoda; Arachnida; Scorpiones; Buthidae.
GGGGUGUUCGUGAAUACAUUUAGGUAGAUGUUUUUUUGGGAUAGAUCUGUAAUUGCAAACCAAAAUAACAUAUAUAAAAGCAAUAAUUCACAGAUAAAACCAGUUAAUAAAACGGACUCGGCAACUAUAAAUAAUGCGUGGAAGUCAUGUUCGGAAUUAAUACACGGAAGAGAUAGCAUACUUAACAUUAACUCAAUUUUUAUAUAUGUUAUUUUGGUUUGCAAUUACAGAUUUGUCUCAGGAAAUAUUUAUUUAAAUGUGUUUGCAAAUAUUUCUUGUUACCAGAGUGACUACGUUCUAAUUUUU